This 303-nucleotide ribosomal RNA is filed under the name uncultured bacterium. RNAcentral describes it as "partial 16S ribosomal RNA". It matches the Rfam family "Bacterial small subunit ribosomal RNA", at positions 507 to 808 of the family's 1533-position model. The record is from RNAcentral.
AGCAGUAGCCACGGUAAUACGUAGGUCCCGAGCGUUGUCCGGAUUUAUUGGGCGUAAAGCGAGCGCAGGCGGUUAGAUAAGUCUGAAGUUAAAGGCUGCGGCUUAACCAUAGUACGCUUUGGAAACUGUUUAACUUGAGUGCAAGAGGGGAGAGUGGAAUUCCAUGUGUAGCGGUGAAAUGCGUAGAUAUAUGGAGGAACACCGGUGGCGAAAGCGGCUCUCUGGCUUGUAACUGACGCUGAGGCUCGAAAGCGUGGGGAGCAAACAGGAUUAGAUACCCCGGUAGUCCCUGUCUCUUAUACC